This 700-nucleotide ribosomal RNA is filed under the name Saccharopolyspora sp. KLBMP S0014. RNAcentral describes it as "bacterial SSU rRNA". It matches the Rfam family "Bacterial small subunit ribosomal RNA", at positions 89 to 800 of the family's 1533-position model. The record is from RNAcentral. RNAcentral also lists the same sequence under 1 other name. Lineage: Bacteria; Bacillati; Actinomycetota; Actinomycetes; Pseudonocardiales; Pseudonocardiaceae.
GGAUUAGUGGCGAACGGGUGAGUAACACGUGGGUAAUCUGCCCUGCACUCUGGGAUAAGCCUUGGAAACGAGGUCUAAUACCGGAUAUGACACACGGAGGCAUCUCCUGUGUGUGGAAAGUUCCGGCGGUGCAGGAUGAACCCGCGGCCUAUCAGCUUGUUGGUGGGGUAGUGGCCUACCAAGGCGACGACGGGUAGCCGGCCUGAGAGGGUGACCGGCCACACUGGGACUGAGACACGGCCCAGACUCCUACGGGAGGCAGCAGUGGGGAAUCUUGCGCAAUGGGCGAAAGCCUGACGCAGCAACGCCGCGUGGGGGAUGACGGCCUUCGGGUUGUAAACCUCUUUCGACAGGGACGAAGCUUUCGGGUGACGGUACCUGUAGAAGAAGCACCGGCUAACUACGUGCCAGCAGCCGCGGUAAUACGUAGGGUGCGAGCGUUGUCCGGAUUUAUUGGGCGUAAAGAGCUCGUAGGCGGUUUGUCGCGUCGGCCGUGAAAACCUGCAGCUUAACUGUGGGCGUGCGGUCGAUACGGGCAGACUUGAGUUCGGCAGGGGAGACUGGAAUUCCUGGUGUAGCGGUGAAAUGCGCAGAUAUCAGGAGGAACACCGGUGGCGAAGGCGGGUCUCUGGGCCGAUACUGACGCUGAGGAGCGAAAGCAUGGGGAGCGAACAGGAUUAGAUACCCUGGUAGUCCAUGC